GAAUACACAAUGCUAGAUGAUACAUAUAGGUGUUUGUGUUUGUACUAAGGAAUAAAAGGAGGAGGAAUACACAAUGCUAGAUGAUACAUAUAGGUGUUUGUGUUUGUACUAAGGAAUAAAAGGAGGAGGAAUACACAAUGCUAGAUGAUACAUAUAGGUGUUUGUGUUUGUACUAAGGAAUAAAAGGAGGAGGAAUACACAAUGCUAGAUGAUACAUAUAGGUGUUUGUGUUUGUACUAAGGAAUAAAAGUAGGAAGAAUACACAAUGCUAGAUGAUACAUAUAGGUGUUUGUGUUUGUACUAAGGAAUAAAAGGAGGAGGAAUACACAAUGCUAGAUGAUACAUAUAGGUGUUUGUGUUUGUACUAAGGAAUAAAAGGAGGAGGAAUACACAAUGCUAGAUGAUACAUAUAGGUGUUUGUGUUUGUACUAAGGAAUAAAAGGAGGAGGAAUACACAAUGCUAGAUGAUACAUAUAGGUGUUUGUGUUUGUACUAAGGAAUAAAAGGAGGAGGAAUACACAAUGCUAGAUGAUACAUAUAGGUGUUUGUGUUUGUACUAAGGAAUAAAAGAAGGAGGAAUACACAAUGCUAGAUGAUACAUAUAGGUGUUUGUGUUUGUACUAAGGAAUAAAAGUAGGAAGAAUACACAAUGCUUGAUAAUACAUAUAGGUGUUUGUGUUUGUACUAAGGAAUAAAAGUAGGAGGAAUACACAAUGCUUGAUAAUACAUAUAGGUGUUUGUGUUUGUACUAAGGAAUAAAAGGAGGAGGAAUACACAAUGCUAGAUGAUACAUAUAGGUGUUUGUGUUUGUACUAAGGAAUAAAAGGAGGAGGAAUACACAAUGCUUGAUAAUACAUAUAGGUGUUUGUGUUUGUACUAAGGAAUAAAAGGAGGAGGAAUACACAAUGCUAGAUGAUACAUAUAGGUGUUUGUGUUUGUACUAAGGAAUAAAAGUAGGAAGAAUACACAAUGCUUGAUAAUACAUAUAGGUGUUUGUGUUUGUACUAAGGAAUAAAAGGAGGAGGAAUACACAAUGCUAGAUGAUACAUAUAGGUGUUUGUGUUUAUACUAAGGAAUAAAAGGAGGAGGAAUACACAAU
Eriocheir sinensis (Chinese mitten crab) is the source of this 1099-nucleotide long non-coding RNA. RefSeq lists it as uncharacterized. NCBI's taxonomy places the organism in Eukaryota, Metazoa, Arthropoda, Malacostraca, Decapoda, Varunidae. The transcript is spliced from 3 exons. The record is from RefSeq and is a predicted model, not a curated record.